CCUACGGGUGGCUGCAGUGAGGAAUAUUGGUCAAUGGGCGCGAGCCUGAACCAGCCAAGUCGCGUGAGGGAUGACGGUCCUACGGAUUGUAAACCUCUUUUGCCGGGGAGCAAGCGUGCGUUCGUGAACGCACGUCGAGAGUACCCGGAGAAAAAGCAUCGGCUAACUCCGUGCCAGCAGCCGCGGUAAUACGGAGGAUGCGAGCGUUAUCCGGAUUUAUUGGGUUUAAAGGGUGCGUAGGCGGGCUUUUAAGUCAGCGGUAAAAAUUCGGGGCUCAACCCCGUCCGGCCGUUGAAACUGGGGGCCUUGAGUGGGCGAGAGGAAGGCGGAAUGCGUGGUGUAGCGGUGAAAUGCAUAGAUAUCACGCAGAACCCCGAUUGCGAAGGCAGCCUUCCGGCGCCCUACUGACGCUGAGGCACGAAAGUGCGGGGAUCGAACAGGAUUAGAUACCCCAGUAGUC
This 460-nucleotide ribosomal RNA is filed under the name uncultured bacterium. Its description in RNAcentral is "partial 16S ribosomal RNA". It matches the Rfam family "Bacterial small subunit ribosomal RNA", at positions 338 to 795 of the family's 1533-position model. The record is from RNAcentral.